This 278-nucleotide long non-coding RNA is filed under the name Ananas comosus (pineapple). Its description in RNAcentral is "long non-coding RNA (ACOM_LNC031981)". The record is from RNAcentral. Lineage: Eukaryota; Viridiplantae; Streptophyta; Magnoliopsida; Poales; Bromeliaceae.
CCUACUGACAAUUUUAAACUACAUAUACAUACCACGUUGUCUAUAACAAAAUUAAAACUAAAGAAUAUUAAAGUGAAUAUUCGAUAAACUAUAGGUCAGAUAUCUGAAAUUUUUUGUAUAUGGUUUAAUAAAAAAUUAACGGAAUGACUGCUGAAAAGAGAAAAAUAAAACUACAGAAUACUAAAUUGAUAUAUUUUAAACUAUAAAAUAUUAAAGUGAGAAAAUGUGAAUUCACAUAGAUGGUGCUUGAAGUUUAUUAAUCUUUCUUAUUAUGGUAU